Molecule: non-coding RNA, 1801 nt
Organism: Cicer arietinum (chickpea)
Lineage: Eukaryota; Viridiplantae; Streptophyta; Magnoliopsida; Fabales; Fabaceae
Source: RefSeq, a predicted model, not a curated record
UAUAACCCCUUACCCACACCGUAACCAUCAUCUCUUCAUUACUUUUUCCUAACCCUCGCCCUCGAACCCGUCUUCGCCAUCAAUCUCACCUUUGCCGCAUCACCAUUCCCUCACCUCACUUUCGCAACCUCACCCACACUCUCGUCUCUCAGCCUCAAUUCUCUUUCUCAUUCAUCUUCGUUCUCGCCCUUCUCUGUUUCUCUCCCAAAUCAGAGGAACCCUAACCAGCUUCCCUCGUUCCUCCUGAAGGAUCCAAGAUUACCCCACCACAUCAAUCAAUGGAGUUUCGCUGGAAGGAUUACUGCCCUAUGGUUUUUUGACAAUUGAGGAAGCUUUUUCAGGUGGAUUCUGCUGAUUACAUGUUAGCUGUAUGCGGCAAUGAGUCCUUCAUGGAGCUUUCAUCUCCUGGGAAAAGUGGAAGCUUCUUCUAUUUGACACAAAAUGAUAGAUUUAUGAUAAAGACAGUGAAAAAAUCCGAAGUCAAGGUUGUAAACAAUUGGUUGAUAGAAAAGUGAGAGUGGGACAGUUAGAGGCACAAGGUACUGAUGGUGAUGUUGGAAGAUCAAGUUCAAAGAAGGAGAAGAAUAUGGUUGGGAAUAAUGUGUGCACAUAAAGAGAGGAUCCUUCAGAGUUCAUCACUCAUAGAGCUAAAGAUUUUUUGUCUAGCAUUAAGGAUAUUGAGAAUCAGUUCAUUCGAGCUUCAGAAUCUGGUAGGGAGGUUUCAAGGCUGUUAGAGACAAAUAGAAUCAAGGUUGGAUUUUCUAAGGCAAAAGGGAAGUCGUCGACAAUGGCUUUGAUCACUGCUAUCCAGCCUGUCUGUUGCCGCAGAAAGGCGUCACCUGUUUUCCAGAAACCUGUACAAAAAAUUAUUAGUUGGAAAAGGACAACAUCUUUUCGAUCAUCCUCGUUUAGGAACCCUUUGGCUUCAAAAUCAAGGGAAGAUAUUGAAAUAUUUAAAUUUAAAGAAUUUCUAACUGGAUGAAGCUGGCACUGCAUGAUAUCUGAAUAGCCCAAUUUACAUGAUAUGAAUUAUCUUGGCCAUUUAUGGCUAUAGGAGUUACUGCAUGGAAAUCCUAUCUUGCAAUUAUGUUGUUAAUAUGUUGGCUGUCAAAUGUUAGAACUAGUGAAUCCAUCAGGAAGGACUAUGAUCGAAAAUGUCACCAGCUUAGGCAUCAAUUUGCAAAAGACCAAGGUACUCAAGUGAUUGACAAGACCAGGGCGACUGUGAAGGAUCUGCAUUCGUGAAUAAGAGUGGCUAUUUAUUAUGUCGAUUCGAUAUCUAAAAGAAUUGAAAAAAUGAGGGAUGAAGAGUUGUGUCCACAACUUCUGGAAUUAACAUAGGGAUUGGUCAGGAUGUGGAAGGCUAUGCUUGAAUGUCAUCAUGCACAAUACAUUACCACAACAUAGUCUUUGUUGACUAUAGUUUGUUGACUUUAGCGUUGGUCCUCCAACGCAACUAUUUUCCCCCAGCUGACAUGGCAACUGACAUUUUUAGCAUCAGAUGUUUCAAUUUUAUAGAUAGCGUUGGCGUAGCCGAUGCUAAUAUAGUGUCGGAUGGCGUUUGACCGACGCUAGUCAUUAGCUUCGACCAUUUUAGCUAGGUCCGACACCGACGCUAGUCAUUAGCUUCGACCGUUUUAGCUAGGUCCGACACCGACGCUAAUCUGAUGCUAAAUCACCAUUAGCGUCAGCUUUAGUCUAAUCCUGUUUUUCUAGCAGUGAGUUAAAAAAACUUAUGUAAUUUUACAUUGAAAUUAUGGAUAUUUUUUUUUACGUAAUUGCAUGUUGAUUUGUUAAUGUA